Molecule: signal recognition particle RNA, 327 nt
Filed under: Candidatus Bathyarchaeota archaeon
Lineage: Archaea; Thermoproteati; Candidatus Bathyarchaeota
Also listed under: 2 other names
Description: signal recognition particle sRNA
Rfam family: Archaeal signal recognition particle RNA
Source: RNAcentral
GUGGCGGCUAGGCGGGGUGCUCGGCCUACCCUUGCAGAGUUAAAAACUCUGCACCGCAAAUGGUCGAUAUGGCGGGCCGAAGCCGAUGUGAGGUGCCUCAAUAAAUGUUGGUGUUACACAGCCCAGCAAUGAAGCCUUGUCCCGUGGGGUGCAUGGAGGCAAUAGACUCCUCGGAGGAGGAGUCGAAUUGCCCUUACCAAGCGAACCGGGUUAGGCCAGGAAUGGAGCAGCCCUAAGCUUGGACAUGCACGUUCACGGGGUUACAGGGCUAAGUAUGGUGUGUAAACACCGCAUUUAGAGGGGCAUCCAGCAUCGGCGUGCCGCCAC